GACGAACGCUGGCGGCGGGCUUAACACAUGCAAGUCGAACGGAAAGGCCCUGCUCUUGGGGGGUGCUCGAGUGGCGAACGGGUGAGUAACACGUGAGUAACCUGUCCUUGACUUUGGGAUAACUUCAGGAAACUGGGGCUAAUACCGGAUAGGAGCUCUUGCUGCAUGGUGGGGGUUGGAAAGUUUCGGCGGUUGGGGAUGGACUCGCGGCUUAUCAGCUUGUUGGUGGGGUAGUGGCUUACCAAGGCUUUGACGGGUAGCCGGCCUGGGAGGGUGACCGGCCCCAUUGGGCCUGAGCUACGGCCCAGACUCCUACGGUACGCAGCAGUGGGGAAUAUUGCACAAUGGGCGGAAGCCUGAUGCAGCAACGCCGCGUGCGGGAUGACGGCCUUCGGGUUGUAAACCGCUUUCGCCUGUGCCGAAGCGUGAGUGACGGUAAUGGGUAAAGAAGCCCCGGCUAACUACGUG
RNAcentral lists this ribosomal RNA (468 nucleotides) under uncultured bacterium. RNAcentral describes it as "partial 16S ribosomal RNA". It matches the Rfam family "Bacterial small subunit ribosomal RNA", at positions 28 to 507 of the family's 1533-position model. The record is from RNAcentral.